This is a non-coding RNA of Ceratotherium simum simum (southern white rhinoceros), 110 nucleotides long. The record is from RefSeq and is a predicted model, not a curated record. Lineage: Eukaryota; Metazoa; Chordata; Mammalia; Perissodactyla; Rhinocerotidae.
CAAAGGAGAAAUAAAAAAAUACCUGGAGAGAAAUGAAAAUGAAAACAUGACAUACCAAAAUCUAUGGGAUGUAGCAACAGCAGUACUAAGAGGGAAAUUUAUAGAAAUAC